Molecule: transfer RNA, 71 nt
Filed under: Camelus bactrianus (Bactrian camel)
Lineage: Eukaryota; Metazoa; Chordata; Mammalia; Artiodactyla; Camelidae
Also listed under: 2 other names
Rfam family: tRNA
About the family: Transfer RNA (tRNA) molecules are approximately 80 nucleotides in length. Their secondary structure includes four short double-helical elements and three loops (D, anti-codon, and T loops).
Source: Rfam by way of RNAcentral
GAGAGUGUAGCUCAAUGUAGAGUACAUGCUUAGCAUGCACGAAGUCCUGGGGUUCAAUCCCCAGUAUCUCA